AGGUCGUUUUGAGGACAAUUUCUUAAUAAUCUUUUGUAGCGCUCCCAUGACUCAUAAAGUGACUCACCCGAUUGUUGUUUAAAGUUGGCUAUUGCCUUUUUGAGUUU
This is a small nucleolar RNA of Lactuca sativa (garden lettuce), 107 nucleotides long. NCBI's taxonomy places the organism in Eukaryota, Viridiplantae, Streptophyta, Magnoliopsida, Asterales, Asteraceae. The record is from RefSeq and is a predicted model, not a curated record.